CAAUUUUGGCAAAAUGUGAAUCGCGAAAAGGCGAGCAAAGACCGUGGUAAGGAUCUUCCACUUUAACUCCCGUAGCUGCUAGUUUCCACGAAGUCCCCGUAAUAAUAUCAGUCAAAGUGAGCGCAACGACGCUUUGAAGGCAGAUUUGGGGAUUCCUGUUCUCCAACAGAUGCUCUCAUAAAAAGAUUACUCUUUCGAUGCGGAUGUCCAUUCAAGCGCAGUCAUUCUACGCCAACACGGAGUUGAAAUGGUUAGAGCUUGCUCUGUCCACUGUACAACUGUAACUAUCUCACAUGUCCUUCCUGCUCUGAUCCCAGCACUAAUGAACCAAACCCCCUUGAUUGCUGAUUUUACGCUUUCUGGACCAAUUGUGGGCCUCCAUAGGCGUGGUUUUGACAGCUCCGGCCAGGCUCAAGGAGAGGGGGUGGACAAGAAGGUGUCGGAAGCAUUAGCAGUAAGAAAACAUGUCAACAGAAUAAAAUAUUAACCAAUGACAGAAAAGAUCGGGAAAUCCCACCCCCGUCUCCGAGCCAAGCACCGGGUCAGCCUUCAGUGCUUAGCCGGUGGUGACUGCACUUCGGUCGGCUUACGCUUUAUAAUUACGAUGCCUCCUUGUUCGAGGAACAAACUCACUCUUCGAUACACUGAAAACUAGGAAUUAAGAUUAUUCACGUGUAAAUUAACAAAAAGUGCAAAUUGUUAUGAUUAAUUAGCGCAAAAUAUUAUAUGCUUUUUAAAACAUAAAUUGAGGAUAACUUCACAAUAGUCAGUAAAAAUAUCAGGAACACACCAAAUGGCGUUUAUCUUUUCGCUGUUCAUGUCAAAGUGACGCGUACAAGUAUUUUGUUCAUAAUGUAGCACUGCACACUCAUAGCCAAAGGACCUUGUUGUGCGUAUGAACUGAAUUCAACGUUUCACUGUGUGAAUAACUAUUUCCGUGCUGCGUGCGUGUGUCCCGACCGACUUCAUGUGAGGAACAGCAGCCAAAAAUCGGACAUUGGUACUUUAAAUUCUGCACCGGGUCAUUCAAAGCGCACAGCCACGCGCUAUACUGAAGAAAGAGGAAGAAAGUUGUUGGAAUCUAAAGACCAAUGUAAAGAUAAUUUUGGCUGUCGCUCCGGUGAUAAGGUGGCACUGGCGGUCUGGAAGGAGACCGAGAGAAUCGAGGGCUGACCUUCCCAGAUGGAGAGUCUGAGCUCUGCCACUGUCCUCCACACCGUCAUGACUGCUUCACGUCGCCUUUGAGACACUGUGUGCAGCAUUACUGUCUAAGGGUGACUGUGUGUGUGUAUGUGUGUGCGUGUGUGUGUGUAAGGUGGAAGCGUUGAGAAGAUGCUUUAAGAUGCUGGUGAGAAUGGAAAAG
This is a long non-coding RNA of Sinocyclocheilus rhinocerous, 1363 nucleotides long. RefSeq lists it as uncharacterized. The transcript has 2 exons. The record is from RefSeq and is a predicted model, not a curated record. Lineage: Eukaryota; Metazoa; Chordata; Actinopteri; Cypriniformes; Cyprinidae.